UAAUAAGUGUUUUAUGGCACUUUUUAAAUCCAUAUCCACCUUGUGUGCAAUGUCAGUCGAUCUUCUUCAUGGAGAUCGGACCCAAACAUCAACCUUUAUCUUUUAACUCUUUGUCUGAAAAAUAUUAUGAAUAAACAUUCAAAAUA
RNAcentral lists this unclassified non-coding RNA (146 nucleotides) under soil metagenome. Its description in RNAcentral is "partial internal transcribed spacer 1". The record is from RNAcentral.